CUUAUACCUCAGAAAGGUGAUAUCUUACACUUUAUUUGCAUUUCUCAAGUACAGAUCCCUCCUUCAGCACAGAGCAGAACAACAGGUCAGCUGCCUGUGCUGCCUCGGCACGCUGCUCAGCUGCGCCAGGGCUGCAGCACGGCACAUGCGGCUGAAAGCUGAAUUCCCUGAAAGCUGAAUUCCCUGAAAGCAGGGGAGAGUAAUGAAGACUAAGAGGAGCCUCAAGAAUUCUUAAGUAUUAAGGUUGGGGACUCCGGUCGCCUGUUCUCCGUAACCAACUGACCAAGGCUUUUGCCCCAUGGGACAGAGGAGACAACCAACGCGAGGCCUGUCCCUGGGUCAGGAAGGAGUAGAUCGUCCCGGUUUCCUCUCUGCUGAAUCGACAGCUGAAAUCCUACUCUAAGGGAAGGUUGACAGAAGGCGUGGAUUCCCACACCCGUUUUCCAGCUAUUUACAGCAUCAGAAGCUCUUCACCGCCACGACUGCCUUUUGCCCUGUGUUUGUGAAGACUCCCUUGCGACAGCGCCCUUCUGACAGGCUGAGAGAGUUGGGGUUGUUCAGCCUGGAGAAGAAAAGGCU
Long non-coding RNA from Cuculus canorus (common cuckoo), 579 nucleotides. RefSeq lists it as uncharacterized. The transcript is spliced from 3 exons. Lineage: Eukaryota; Metazoa; Chordata; Aves; Cuculiformes; Cuculidae. The record is from RefSeq and is a predicted model, not a curated record.